UACGUAGGUGGCGAGCGUUGUCCGGAUUUACUGGGCGUAAAGGGAGCGUAGGCGGACUUUUAAGUGAGAUGUGAAAUACCCGGGCUCAACUUGGGUGCUGCAUUUCAAACUGGAAGUCUAGAGUGCAGAAGAGGAGAAUGGAAUUCCUAGUGUAGCGGUGAAAUGCGUAGAGAUUAGGAAGAACACCAGUGGCGAAGGCGAUUCUCUGGACUGUAACUGACGCUGAGGCUCGAAAGCGUGGGGAGCAAACAGGAUUAGAUACCCG
Molecule: ribosomal RNA, 265 nt
Filed under: uncultured prokaryote
Description: partial 16S ribosomal RNA
Rfam family: Bacterial small subunit ribosomal RNA
Source: RNAcentral